Molecule: long non-coding RNA, 485 nt
Organism: Sitophilus oryzae (rice weevil)
Lineage: Eukaryota; Metazoa; Arthropoda; Insecta; Coleoptera; Curculionidae
Exons: 3
Source: RefSeq, a predicted model, not a curated record
AAAACAAAGCGAACAUUGAGAAAAUUUAAGCGAAACUCGAAAACAUUCAUUUGGUUUGUUCGGUGGUGUGUGGUUAUUCAACAGACACAAAAACAAUGCUUAAAGCCAGGUACAACCCCGUGUAUGGAAACGAAUAUUACUUGGGGGAUACUAGAUCUAUACCUGACUAUAGAAUCCAUAGGUCUUACAAUUUCUACGAUUUCUGGCCUUACAGACUAAAAAUCACUUACAGGAAUAGACCAUUCAGAAGAUGGCUGACCACUCCAAGUUUAUUUAGACAAAACUUAUAUUCGAACGAAAGCAGUUUAGUGACAUCGAGUUCCAGCGUAUCCAGAUACAGCUCUUAUUAGACAUUAUAGGAAAUUAAAUAAAAUGUAAACUUUUUGUUAAUGUAUUCAUUUACACGUUAUACUACUUAAAAUUUUGUCAAUGUUAACUUUUAUAAAACGUAUAUUUUUUUAAAAUAAACUCAUUAUUAAAUAUUA